GAUGAACGCUGGCGGCGUGCCUAAUACAUGCAAGUCGAGCGAACAGAUGAGGAGCUUGCUCCUCUGACGUUAGCGGCGGACGGGUGAGUAACACGUGGAUAACCUACCUAUAAGACUGGGAUAACUUCGGGAAACCGGAGCUAAUACCGGAUAAUAUAUUGAACCGCAUGGUUCAAUAGUGAAAGACGGUUUUGCUGUCACUUAUAGAUGGAUCCGCGCCGCAUUAGCUAGUUGGUAAGGUAACGGCUUACCAAGGCAACGAUGCGUAGCCGACCUGAGAGGGUGAUCGGCCACACUGGAACUGAGACACGGUCCAGACUCCUACGGGAGGCAGCAGUAGGGAAUCUUCCGCAAUGGGCGAAAGCCUGACGGAGCAACGCCGCGUGAGUGAUGAAGGUCUUCGGAUCGUAAAACUCUGUUAUUAGGGAAGAACAAAUGUGUAAGUAACUCUGCACGUCUUGACGGUACCUAAUCAGAAAGCCCCGGCUAACUACGUG
Molecule: ribosomal RNA, 497 nt
Filed under: uncultured bacterium
Lineage: Bacteria
Description: partial 16S ribosomal RNA
Rfam family: Bacterial small subunit ribosomal RNA
Source: RNAcentral